RNAcentral lists this ribosomal RNA (1271 nucleotides) under Blastodinium crassum. RNAcentral describes it as "LSU rRNA". It matches the Rfam family "Eukaryotic large subunit ribosomal RNA", at positions 11 to 1289 of the family's 3401-position model. The record is from RNAcentral. Lineage: Eukaryota; Dinophyceae; Blastodiniales.
GUUAGACUAGCAAACCUGCUGAAUUUAAGCAUAUAAGUAAGCGGAGGAAAAGAAACUAAAUAGGAUUCCCUCAGUAAUGGCGAAUGAACAGGGAUCAGCUCAGUGUGAAAAUCGAAGCCUCUGGCUUCGAAUUGUGGUCUGAAGAUGUACUACCAACAGUGGCACAGAUGUAAGCCUCUUGGAAAGGAGCGUCGCUGAGGGUGAGAAUCCCGCUUGUCAUCUGUAGGCCUCUGUGCACGGUGUACCUUUCGAGAGUCACAUUCCUUGGGAGUGGAAUGCAAAGUGGGUGGUAAAUUUCAUCUAAAGCUAAAUAUAAGUUCGAGACCGAUAGAAAACAAGUACCAUGAGGGAAAGAUGAAAAGGACUUUGAAAAGAGAGUUAAAAGUGCCUGAAAUUGCUGAGAGGGAAGCGAAUGGAACCAGUGAGUCUGGGUGAGAUUGUCGCUCGCUUAUGUGACGCCUUGCUAUUCCAGCGCAAGCGGAGUAGCUGGGCUUGAGCAGACUGCGUGCGAUGCUUCUUGCCUGGUGUGCCAUCUCUGUUGCGCGAGUGGAGAAAACUCUGAGGACAUGGUAAUGAGUCCCUGGACGAUUGAAUGUGCUCGGCUGAAUUCACUUGUGUAACACCUGAUGGCUAAAUGGUUUCUUUCGACCCGUCUUGAAACACGGACCAAGGAGUCUAACAUAUGUGCGAGUUCGUGGGUGGUUAAACCUGUGUGCGCAAUGAAAACGACUGCUGGGAUCUUUGCACCAGCAACCGACCGAUCGAUUGAGAGAGGUUUGAGUGUGAGCAUAUCUGUUAGGACCCGAAAGAUGGUGAACUAUGCCUGCACAGGGCAAACUCAGGGGAAACUCUGAUGGAGGCUCGUAGCGAUACUGACGUGCAAAUCGUUCGUCAUAUGUGGGUAUAGGGGCGAAAGACUAAUCGAACCAUCUAGUAGCUGGUUCCCUCCGAAGUUUCCCUCAGGAUAGCUGGAAUUGAACAGUUUUAUCAGGUAAAGCGAAUGAUUAGAGGAAUCGGGGACGCGUUGUCUUCGACCUAUUCUCAAACUUUAAAUGGGUAAGAUCCAGUGGUUACUUGGGUGAACUUCUGGGACAAAUGUCAAUUCUAAGUGGGCCAUUUUUGGUAAGCAGAACUGGCGAUGAGGGAUGAACCUAACGCUGGGUUAAGGUGCUUAAUUGCUCGCUCAUCAGAUACCAUAAAGGGUGUUGGUUCAUUUUAACAGCAGGACGGUGGUCAUGGAAGUCGAAAUCCGCUAAGGAGUGUGUAACAAC